UACGUAGGGGGCCAGCGUUGUCCGGAAUCAUUGGGCGUAAAGGGCGCGUAGGCGGCCUGUUAAGUCGAACGUGAAAUCCCCAAGCUCAACUUGGGAACUGCGUCCGAUACUGGCAGGCUUGAAUUCGGGAGAGGGAUGUGGAAUUCCAGGUGUAGCGGUGAAAUGCGUAGAUAUCUGGAGGAACACCGGUGGCGAAGGCGGCAUCCUGGACCGAUAUUGACGCUGAUGCGCGAAAGCCAGGGGAGCAAACGGG
Molecule: ribosomal RNA, 253 nt
Filed under: uncultured bacterium
Lineage: Bacteria
Description: partial 16S ribosomal RNA
Rfam family: Bacterial small subunit ribosomal RNA
Source: RNAcentral